AUACUUACCUGGCAAGGGAGACACCGUGAUCACCAAGGCGGAUCACCCAGGGCGAGGCUCGGCCAUUGCACUGUGGCUGUGCUGACCCCUGCGAAUUUCCCAAAUGUGGAAAUCUCGAUUGCAUAAUUUCUGGUAGUGGGGGACUGCGUUUGCGCUCUCUCCUG
Esox lucius (northern pike) is the source of this 164-nucleotide small nuclear RNA. Its record names the gene U1. It matches the Rfam family "U1 spliceosomal RNA". Rfam says of the family: U1 is a small nuclear RNA (snRNA) component of the spliceosome (involved in pre-mRNA splicing). Its 5' end forms complementary base pairs with the 5' splice junction, thus defining the 5' donor site of an intron. There are significant differences in sequence and secondary structure between metazoan and yeast U1 snRNAs, the latter being much longer (568 nucleotides as compared to 164 nucleotides in human). Lineage: Eukaryota; Metazoa; Chordata; Actinopteri; Esociformes; Esocidae. The record is from Ensembl.